AUUGAACGCUGGCGGCAGGCCUAACACAUGCAAGUCGAACGGUAGCACAGAGAGCUUGCUCUCGGGUGACGAGUGGCGGACGGGUGAGUAAUGUCUGGGAAACUGCCCGAUGGAGGGGGAUAACUACUGGAAACGGUAGCUAAUACCGCAUAACGUCGCAAGACCAAAGUGGGGGACCUUCAGGCCUCACACCAUCGGAUGUGCCCAGAUGGGAUUAGCUAGUAGGUGGGGUAAUGGCUCACCUAGGCGACGAUCCCUAGCUGGUCUGAGAGGAUGACCAGCCACACUGGAACUGAGACACGGUCCAGACUCCUACGGGAGGAAGCAGUGGGGAAUAUUGCACAAUGGGCGCAAGCCUGAUGCAGCCAUGCCGCGUGUAUGAAGAAGGCCUUCGGGUUGUAAAGUACUUUCAGCGGGGAGGAAGGCGGUGAAGUUAAUAACUUCACCGAUUGACGUUACCCGCAGAAGAAGCACCGGCUAACUCCGUGCCAGCCGCCGCAGUAA
RNAcentral lists this ribosomal RNA (504 nucleotides) under uncultured bacterium. Its description in RNAcentral is "partial 16S ribosomal RNA". It matches the Rfam family "Bacterial small subunit ribosomal RNA", at positions 30 to 523 of the family's 1533-position model. The record is from RNAcentral.